AGUGAACGCUGGCGGUAGGCCUAACACAUGCAAGUCGAACGGCAGCACAGUAAGAGCUUGCUCUUACGGGUGGCGAGUGGCGGACGGGUGAGGAAUACAUCGGAAUCUACUUUUUCGUGGGGGAUAAUGUAGGGAAACUUACGCUAAUACCGCAUACGACCUACGGGUGAAAGCAGGGGAUCUUCGGACAUUGCGCGAGUGAAUGAGCCGAUGUCGGAUUAGCUAGUUGGCGGGGUAAAGGCCCACCAAGGCGACGAUCCGUAGCUGGUCUGAGAGGAUGAUCAGCCACACUGGAACUGAGACACGGUCCAGACUCCUACGGGAGGCGGCAGUGGGGAAUAUUGGACAAUGGGCGCAAGCCUGAUCCAGCCAUACCGCGUGGGUGAGGAAGGCCUUCGGGUUGUAAAGCCCUUUUGUUGGGAAAGAAAAGCAGCAGGUUAAUACCCCGCUGUUCUGACGGUACCCAAAGAAUAAGCACCGGCUAACUUCGUG
This 492-nucleotide ribosomal RNA is filed under the name uncultured bacterium. RNAcentral describes it as "partial 16S ribosomal RNA". It matches the Rfam family "Bacterial small subunit ribosomal RNA", at positions 29 to 507 of the family's 1533-position model. The record is from RNAcentral.